AACGAACGCUGGCGGCAUGCCUAACACAUGCAAGUCGAACGAGACCUUCGGGUCUAGUGGCGCACGGGUGCGUAACGCGUGGGAACCUGCCCUUAGGUUCGGAAUAACUCCCCGAAAGGGGUGCUAAUACCGGAUAAUGUCUUCGGACCAAAGAUUUAUCGCCUUUGGAUGGGCCCGCGUUGGAUUAGCUAGUUGGUAGGGUAAAAGCCUACCAAGGCGACGAUCCAUAGCUGGUCUGAGAGGAUGAUCAGCCACACUGGGACUGAGACACGGCCCAGACUCCUACGGGAGGCGGCAGUGGGGAAUAUUGGACAGUGGGCUAAAGCCUGAACCAGCAAUGCCGCGUGAGUGAUGAAGGCCUUAGGGUUGUAAAGCUCUUUUACCCGGGAUGAUAAUGACAGUACCGGGAGAAUAAGCUCCGGCUAACUCCGUG
RNAcentral lists this ribosomal RNA (433 nucleotides) under uncultured bacterium. RNAcentral describes it as "partial 16S ribosomal RNA". It matches the Rfam family "Bacterial small subunit ribosomal RNA", at positions 29 to 507 of the family's 1533-position model. The record is from RNAcentral.